This 548-nucleotide ribosomal RNA is filed under the name Priestia koreensis. Its description in RNAcentral is "bacterial SSU rRNA". It matches the Rfam family "Bacterial small subunit ribosomal RNA", at positions 379 to 918 of the family's 1533-position model. The record is from RNAcentral. Lineage: Bacteria; Bacillati; Bacillota; Bacilli; Caryophanales; Bacillaceae.
AAGUCUGACGGAGCAACGCCGCGUGAGUGAUGAAGGUUUUCGGAUCGUAAAACUCUGUUGUUAAAGAAGAACAAGUACCGGAGUAACUGCCGGUACCUUGACGGUACCUAACCAGAAAGCCACGGCUAACUACGUGCCAGCAGCCGCGGUAAUACGUAGGUGGCAAGCGUUGUCCGGAAUUAUUGGGCGUAAAGCGCGCGCAGGUGGUCUCUUAAGUCUGAUGUGAAAGCCCCCGGCUCAACCGGGGAGGGUCAUUGGAAACUGGGAGACUUGAGUGCAGGAGAGAAGAGUGGAAUUCCACGUGUAGCGGUGAAAUGCGUAGAGAUGUGGAGGAACACCAGUGGCGAAGGCGACUCUUUGGCCUGUAACUGACACUGAGGCGCGAAAGCGUGGGGAGCAAACAGGAUUAGAUACCCUGGUAGUCCACGCCGUAAACGAUGAGUGCUAAGUGUUAGAGGGUUUCCGCCCUUUAGUGCUGCAGCAAACGCAUUAAGCACUCCGCCUGGGGAGUACGGCCGCAAGGCUGAAACUCAAAGGAAUUGACGGGG